Molecule: transfer RNA, 113 nt
Organism: Astyanax mexicanus (Mexican tetra)
Lineage: Eukaryota; Metazoa; Chordata; Actinopteri; Characiformes; Acestrorhamphidae
Rfam family: tRNA
About the family: Transfer RNA (tRNA) molecules are approximately 80 nucleotides in length. Their secondary structure includes four short double-helical elements and three loops (D, anti-codon, and T loops). Further hydrogen bonds mediate the characteristic L-shaped molecular structure. tRNAs have two regions of fundamental functional importance: the anti-codon, which is responsible for specific mRNA codon recognition, and the 3' end, to which the tRNAs corresponding amino acid is attached (by aminoacyl-tRNA synthetases). tRNAs cope with the degeneracy of the genetic code in two manners: having more than one tRNA (with a specific anti-codon) for a particular amino acid; and 'wobble' base-pairing, i.e. permitting non-standard base-pairing at the 3rd anti-codon position.
Source: Rfam
GUCAGAAUGGCCGAGCGGUCUAAGGCGCCAGACUCAAGGUUGUGCACCUUCUCCAAAACAGAGAGAUUUCUGGUCUCCGAAUGGAGGCGUGGGUUCAAAUCCCACUUCUGACA